CCGCAUUUUUUUUUAUCUUGAUGAAAUGUUUAAGUUUGCUCGAUUAUUGACUAUUGUGUGCAUUAAUCAUUGUUUGUUCAGCACUAGAAUAAGGUAUUGAUGAUCAUUCCUUUUAGCUUUUGAAUUGAUUCUACAGCAAGUAGUAGUUCAUAAGGACUAAGUUAGAAUUUUGAAUUAUUUUCAAUUGAUAAACGAUGGUGCAUAUUUUCAAUAGAAUGGAUCAGUUGCUUUGGGUUGAGAGUGUGAAUUGGGCUAAGAAUCAGGCCCAAAUGCAGGCCCAAUCUGAGUUUGGUUUAAAAUCUGACAGAAAGAGUAAAAAUGAAGAUUUAGAAAGGGCAUUGAGGGGUUAUGACUUGAGGAAUCUUUUCUGUUACAACUAAAAAGAAGUUUUUAUAAGAAAGAAAAGGGCUGGUAUCUGCAAAAGAAAAUAGAAACAGCUUAGAUUUUGGGGCCUAGGAGUCAAAUAAAAAAAGUUUGAAGGGUAAAAGUGAAUUAGAAAAUCAGGUUUUUGUUACCCUAAAAUCUUCUAUAAAAGGAUCCUUUUCUCAUUCAUUAGGGGGAUCUUAGACAUAAAAAAAGUCACGGCUGCUAGAAAUUCAGGUUUUUCUUUGAAAUUUGAGUUUAACAGCUGUUAAAAACACUCCAAAAUCAGAGUAAGAUAUAGUCAAAAGGGAAAGAUUGAAAGCUGUUUCUAAUCUCUUUGGAUUCUUGCAUCAUUUCUGGGUUCAAAGUUUGGUUUGGUUUGAAGAAAUUGCUGGUUUUAUUGUUGCUAUUGUUUAUCUGGAAUUCAAACUAUCAUCCUGAUUUCUGUUGUCGCUCUGUUUUGAGUUGUGUCGUUGGCUAUAAUCCUUGGUUUUUACUUGGCAAAAAUUCAGCUUCAUUUACAAGUUUAGUUCCUUAUUAAUGAUGUUUGCAAGGCUUGAACAUUUGUUGGAGGAUCGACAGUACAAUUAAUGUGAUUACGUAAUCCCUUCAAGACUGAAUCUGAUGAGAAGCAUGUACAGUUAAUAAGAACAUAUGAAGUUUGGAUAGCUAUAGGUCAUUUGUUUUAAGAUCAUUUGGAAUCAAAAGCAUGUGAAUCUAUUAUUUAUUCUAGAUUUUAGUAACAUUGAAUGUAAUCGUAACCGGUAUUGUAAUCUGUUAGAAAAUUAUAGGUGUGGCAUGUUGCUUCUUCAAUUCUGAUCUGUAAUAUGUCAAAUAGUUUAACAUGGUCAAUGUUAAAAGCAAUAUAAUUUUAGUCU
Nicotiana tabacum (common tobacco) is the source of this 1241-nucleotide long non-coding RNA. RefSeq lists it as uncharacterized. Lineage: Eukaryota; Viridiplantae; Streptophyta; Magnoliopsida; Solanales; Solanaceae. The record is from RefSeq and is a predicted model, not a curated record.